Molecule: long non-coding RNA, 3472 nt
Organism: Corvus hawaiiensis (hawaiian crow)
Lineage: Eukaryota; Metazoa; Chordata; Aves; Passeriformes; Corvidae
Exons: 2
Source: RefSeq, a predicted model, not a curated record
UCCUCUCCCCAACCUUUUCUCCACAAUAUGCUGCCCCACCAGGGGACAAGGAGGGAGUACCUCGGCACAAAAGGCAUUUCCACCCUCUCCUCAAUCUCCUGUGGUCACAGUAACCUCUGUGGGGGAUGAGAGCAUCUCUCCCCACCUCAGGUCUCUCCCGGCCUGGCUGACACCACCCCACGACACUAUGUCCACCCCACGCACGUAUACAGUGCAGGGACGAAAUCCGGGACGAAAUCCGGGUCACUUGAGGAAGCAAGCGGAGAGACUGCAGCAGCCCGGCUCUGCCGCGGGGCAUGGGAAGCCUUUCCAGCGCAACCACCCUCCACUGUCUCUGCUGGACCUCCACCUGGCUCCUCCCUGUCUCCUCUUGGUGGCUUUGCUCCGAGGGUCUCCCGGGGUGACAGUCCGCCGAGCCAAGGAGUUUUCCUGUACAAUCAAGAGAAUGAGAAACGUCUGGGAUUUUCUCUGAGAGACAGAAAAAUUCUUCUGCAACCCCUGGAUUCCAGCAGUUAAAGCUUCAAAAAACACAACCCAGCAACUGAGAACCAUGCUCUGAAAUACUGGAAAAGCCCCAAUACUGCUGAGAGAGACUCUAGAGACUUUAUGGCUCUGUGUUGAAAGGUAUGUACAGGCACUGUGGAUUUCUGGAUAUUCACCAUGUCAGUACUACUGGGACAAAAGGAGACAACUCAGCAAAACAAAGCUGUUCACAUCAUCUCCAACAGCAAGACUCUUUAACAGCAGUAUCAAAUAUAGUACAACUCUGAGCACUACCAUUAGCUGAGGCAACACUCAUAUUUUACAGGGCACAAUUUGACUUUUGUUUAUAUUUUUACAUUGAAGAUGGCACUUAUGAAAUAUGGAAUUCCUCCAGGGAGAAAACCUGGGCAGGAACAGAGCAACAUCUGUCAUGUGCAGACAGCCCAGGCACACACCACUUGUGAUUGGGGAGGGGCUACCUGAAGAAAGUGAGACUGGAAAUCAUUUCCCACAGCCUGGGAUGUUACUGGUGGAAGCUGAGAGCCAGACUCGGCUCUGGUGGUGAUUGUAGCCUGGUACUGGAGGCAGUGAAGCUCAUCCCACACUGCCAUUGCCAGCUUUCUCUCCACACAUUUCAAUUCAGUUUCUCCAGAGUGAAAUCUGCAAGUUUCACCAAAAUACACAGCUGCACAGAGAAGAGGAAUCUUAUUGUCCUUACUGAGGAGUGGCCCACAGCAUUCAAUCCUUGUUGGCAAUACAGGAGAGGAAGAUUCUGCACAUCUUGCUUGGUGCCUGCACUUUAUAGGACACGAAAGACCUCACUCAUAGGACCCAAGACAGUAUGAAGCGGGGCCUUGCAGACCUGCUGCUCACACAGCUGUUUUUUGGGGACUGUGGAUAAGGCUGAAGGGAGAUGCAUCUGUUUCAUAUUGGGCAACCAAAGGCCCCCGAUGAGGCACGGUUACUGGAAGCAUGGAAAGUAUUAGUUCAAGACUGGGCUAGAAAUGGAAGCAUGAUUGACUCUGUCCAAAUCCACUUCUCUCCAUCUCCCAUGUUCUCCCAGGUAUUUCAGUCUACUAUUCUCUGAGCGCAUGCCCCUACUUAACCUUACAGUUCUUAUGUACAAGCAUCCAGAGCGAUCACCUUGGCAAAGCCAACAGUGCCUAAGUUCUCUUUCCUUGUGUGAUACCAAAGCUAUUUCCUUCCUUGCUGUCAGGACAGGGUUGAGAACAAUUCUCUCUUCUGAAAAAGUAGCUACAGACACCUGCAAAAGCUGCACUAGAUAAAGGUCAAAUCUUGCAUUGCCAGACCUGCAUGAGGCCAGGACAGAACAGCAAGGGAUGUGGCAUGUGUGCCAGCAAAACUGUGCUGUGCCGAGAUUAGCGCAGCCGUGGCUGGAGUGCAGGAGAAAGGAGCCUUUGUAAGGCUCCCUGAAGUAGAACAAGAAGAGCAAGAAAUGCUGGGGAUUUGGGUUGAGGUGUUCUGAUAGAGUGGUGUCUGCUGUGCCGGCAGCAGAGCUCCUUGCUGAGACAGUAGGUGCUGCUCCAAGAAAAAUGCUGCUCUUCUCAGGUGACAGGGAAAAUCUUGUUUCUGGCCCCCCCAUUUAAUACAAACAUGCUAAACAUGGGCAGACCAGCCAUGUUCAUUUAAAAAAACAACAACCCCACAACCCAAUAGAUCCUGGUAAAACAGAGACAUUGAGAAGAGAACAAAAUCUCCUUGUCCAAGACAGGUAUUUUCUUAAUGAGGCCUAACCAUGGUAUUUCCAACCUUGUUUUCCCCCUCCCUUUCUGAGACAGCUCAACCUUUAAUGAUUUCUUACCUAAGCUGCUCGUUACUGUCCCACCACACACUGCUGGGGAGCGUGGGGGAUGACACACUUAGCCUUUGCAUCAAAGCCAUGAUGCUGACAGUGCAGUUUUCACUGUCAGCCAGGGAUGUUUGGUUUUCCUGGCAGAUCUUUUUUUAAACACACUUCAAACAACCUCCUUUCAUUUUCCCUGACAAAUCUCAGACGUUACCACACCCCCUUGUUUUCUGCCAUCCCUCAUGCUGCUUUUCCCUCACUGAUUCCCUCACUGCAGAAAGCACCGAGGCCUCAAAAAUUAUAUGAUGGGGGCUGGUUUCCUUUUGGCAAUUAACACUCACAAAUUAUUCCAGUAUGGUGGCGGUUUGCCCCUGAAAAUAACCUUGACCUAAGCAUUAGGCAGACGCAGCUGCACUUCCAGGUGCAAAGAGGAUUAUAAACCCACCCAGGUUUCCUGGAGAGGUGGGCAAACAGCUGAAGAAUUGACUAUCAGAGACUUUAAUUUUUGGGCUCCUAAGUGCAAGAGAGACAUGGUGCUCCUGGAGCAGGUCCAGCAGAGGGCAACAAGGAUAAUUGGGGGACUGGAGCUCCUCUUUUAUAAGGAAAGGUUGAGGGAGCUGGGCCUGUUGGGGCUUGAGAAGACUCAGAGGGGACCUGAUCAAUGUGUAUCAGUGUAUGAAGGGCGUCAAGGUUGGAGUCAGGCUCUUCACGGUGGUGCGAAGCAAUAGGACAACAAGCAAUGGGGCAGAAACUGGUGCACAGGAAGUUCCACCUGAACAUGAAGAAGAACUUCUUUACUGUGCAGAUGACCAGGCACUGGAACAGACUGUCCAGAGAGGGUGUGGAGUCUCCCUCACUGGAGAGGGAAUGCAAGAAUCCUCUGGAUGCAAUACCUGUGCCACGUGCUCUGGGAUGACCAUGAUACCAACCUGGCUGGAAUAUAAACUAACACAAUCUGAAGCAUUAGAAAGCAGGCAUUCUUUAUCUACGCAGGAUACAUAGAAGAAUAUCUCUAAAAACUUUUAUUCUCUGUUAUUUAUCAACCCUGCUUGAGCAGGGAGGUUGGACCAGAUGCCCCACUGUGGUACCUUCCUAUCUGACCUGUUCUGUGCUUCUGUGAUCUCUGCUACCCUAUCUGGACUGAAGUUUACGGAAAUGAUAAAUUAAAUCAGAAUAACCGCA